RNAcentral lists this non-coding RNA (30 nucleotides) under Rattus norvegicus (Norway rat). The record is from RNAcentral. Lineage: Eukaryota; Metazoa; Chordata; Mammalia; Rodentia; Muridae.
UUGGUGGCGUUGACCUCGCUUUGUGUGAUC